This 367-nucleotide ribosomal RNA is filed under the name uncultured organism. RNAcentral's name for it is "bacterial LSU rRNA". It matches the Rfam family "Bacterial large subunit ribosomal RNA", at positions 2099 to 2465 of the family's 2925-position model. The record is from RNAcentral.
CUUUACUGUAGCCUGGUAUUGGGUUCGGGCUUUGACUGCGCAGGAUAGGUGGGAGACUAUGAAGCUGCCCUUGUGGGGGCAGUGGAGUCAUCAGUGAGAUACCACUCUGUCAAGGCUAGAAUUCUAACCGUCUGCCGUUAUCCGGCGACGGAACAGUAUCAGGUGGGCAGUUUGACUGGGGCGGUCGCCUCCUAAAUGGUAACGGAGGCGCGCAAAGGUUCCCUCAGGCUGGUUGGAAAUCAGCCGAAGAGUGUAAAGGCAGUAGGGAGCUUGACUGCAAGAGCAACAACUCAAGCAGGGACGAAAGUCGGCCUUAGUGAUCCGACGGCGCUGAGUGGAAGGGCCGUCGCUCAACGGAUAAAAGUUA